RNAcentral lists this ribosomal RNA (468 nucleotides) under uncultured bacterium. RNAcentral describes it as "partial 16S ribosomal RNA". It matches the Rfam family "Bacterial small subunit ribosomal RNA", at positions 28 to 507 of the family's 1533-position model. The record is from RNAcentral.
GAUGAACGCUGGCGGCGUGCUUAACACAUGCAAGUCGAACGGAAAGGCCCAAGCUUGCUUGGGUUCUCGAGUGGCGAACGGGUGAGUAACACGUGGGUGAUCUGCCCUGCACUUCGGGAUAAGCCUGGGAAACUGGGUCUAAUACCGGAUAGGACCACUUCUUGGAUGUUGUGGUGGAAAGUUUUCUCGGUGUGGGAUGAGCUCGCGGCCUAUCAGCUUGUUGGUGGGGUAAUGGCCUACCAAGGCGUCGACGGGUAGCCGGCCUGAGAGGGUGUACGGCCACAUUGGGACUGAGAUACGGCCCAGACUCCUACGGGUGGCAGCAGUGGGGAAUAUUGCACAAUGGGCGCACGCCUGAUGCAGCGACGCCGCGUGGUGGAUGACGGCCUUCGUGUUGUAAACUCCUUUCGCUAGGGACGAAGCGUUUUUGUGACGGUACCUGGAGAAGAAGCACCGGCUAACUACGUG